GGGGUUGUAGCUUAGUGGUUAGAGCACUUACCUAGCAUGUGUGAAGCCUGGGUUCAAUCCCCAAUAUCUCA
Molecule: transfer RNA, 71 nt
Filed under: Marmota marmota marmota (Alpine marmot)
Lineage: Eukaryota; Metazoa; Chordata; Mammalia; Rodentia; Sciuridae
Also listed under: 2 other names
Rfam family: tRNA
About the family: Transfer RNA (tRNA) molecules are approximately 80 nucleotides in length.
Source: Rfam by way of RNAcentral